RNAcentral lists this long non-coding RNA (1090 nucleotides) under Bemisia tabaci. RNAcentral's name for it is "lncRNA ENSSWEETPG004437". Lineage: Eukaryota; Metazoa; Arthropoda; Insecta; Hemiptera; Aleyrodidae. The record is from RNAcentral.
GCAGACAGAUGCUGAGAGAAGAGCUCAGAUGAAACUAAGUGCUCAACGUUCCUCCAAAACAAAGAUGGAAGGAAUAGAAGUCAUAGUCGGCGACCUAAGCGGGUUGAUGUCACGAAAUUGAACCACGGUGGUGACAACAACAAUUCAGGAAUAGGUGGCAAUGACUCACUUGGUAGUCUUCCACCUCCAGCCAAACUUCAAAAAGUUGCCAAUCAUCGACCAGAACUCGAUCCAAACUCCUCGGACCACGUUGUUGCUAUCACUCAACUCAAAGAACAAAUGGCUUCCCUCCAAAAGCAGGUCACCCAGAAGAAUUUAGCUCUCAGAGAAAAAGAUAAAACGAUUACUGACUUGAAAGCCAAACACUUUACUGAAACAACUGAGCUACGUAACAGAAUGCAGAAAGAAUCAGCUGAGUAUGAUAAAAAAGUUGAGUUCAUGAGUGGUAAAAUCAAGAGUCUUCAGAAAGAAGUUGCAACACUAUCCAAAGUGGUGGGAAGCGAGGCUCUGGACUUCUUAGCAAAAGCAGUGCAGGAGGCGGAGGUAGUGGCAGUGGAACAGAUAGCCCCUCCAUGGGUUAAUCGGUUGGUUAAGUCCAAUUGAAAUGAUUCAACUUAAACUUUGUUAGUUUUUAUCAUAUUAAUUUAUUCAUUUUAAAAAACUGCUCAAAUUUAUGGGACUGCAUGCAUGGCUUGGCACUUGUGUGGAAAUAGCAAUUUUUUUGAAAAUUCAGCAUUUUCAUCACCAUACAAUUUUUAUUAUAAAAUUAAACCACCAUAAAUAUUUUGGACUGAGAUGAAAUGAGUGUUACUGAACGUCAUCCAUGAAUAAAGUCUCAAGUUUGUAUAAGUCUCCCGCAUGAAGGAACAUAUCGAUGGUGAAACUACCAUACCACGUAUCUCGGAAAACUCGAUUUUUCAGGAGAGCAAAAAAACUGUCUGCGUUCCUUAUUUUUGAUAAUUAAAAGGUAAUAAUUCUUGGAGAUAGAGAUGAUAAGAUGCUUUUCACCACGCCUUGAGCAUUUUUGAAGAUAGUCGCAAAAGUGAUGAAAUACGGAGGAAAACCCGAGUUAUGUGUUUUGCGAAGUAGG